Long non-coding RNA from Polyodon spathula (Mississippi paddlefish), 667 nucleotides. RefSeq lists it as uncharacterized. The transcript is spliced from 4 exons. NCBI's taxonomy places the organism in Eukaryota, Metazoa, Chordata, Actinopteri, Acipenseriformes, Polyodontidae. The record is from RefSeq and is a predicted model, not a curated record.
UCCCGGAGCAGGACAGUCACUCUCUGCCGGGAGGGGUAGUGACGCCGCAACAACGGAAGUCUGUUUACUAAUUCAAAAUGGCUUCCUUAAUAAGGAAGUGAAGAAAAUAAUCCGAAGGGAAAAAAACACGAAUAAACCCACGAUUCGAACAAAUAAACCCGUUUCUAAUCAACGGGGACGCGUUUCGAAGGAGACCAGGAGCACUACCAGCUACGUUUUGUAAAGGUCAUGGGUGGCAAGAAACCUGUCUAGAUAAAGACUUCGUUAUCCCUUUGGAAGGCCCUCACUCAGCCGCGAUGCAUCGGACAACCUAAUGCUCUGGGUCUCUACGCAUCCUGUCAUGGACGGGGAGAAUUACCUGCACCCAGAGGGACCCCUACUAGACAGCCCGAUGUUCAGCCUGUCAAACCCUUCACUUCUCCCCACAGCCAUGGAGAACCAUAUGUCUCCAUCUAGCUCGUGGGCCACGUUCUCCUCACAUCAGGCUACAUAUAACUUGCACUACCCUAUGCAAUCUGGAAACCAGCAAUAUUUUAAUACCACUUCAGAGAUGCCCAUGGAAACGUUCAGUCCGCAUUUCCAAGACGGGGAUAUAAACCUCACCAGCCAUGCGAGAAAUGGAGACUUUUCUCAGGUGAGGCAUUCAAGGGUACUAUGCUGUGUUCUG